GUCUAUGGCCAUACCAUCUUGAACAUGCCUGCUCUCAUUUGGUAUCAGACGCUAAGCAGAGGCAGGUCCUGAAUGGGAGGAAGACAUUUUAACCAGGUUUUAGCUU
This 106-nucleotide ribosomal RNA is filed under the name Meriones unguiculatus (Mongolian gerbil). The record is from RNAcentral. Lineage: Eukaryota; Metazoa; Chordata; Mammalia; Rodentia; Muridae.